GAUGAACGCUGGCGGCGUGCCUAAUACAUGCAAGUCGAGCGAACAGACGAUGAUCUUGCUCCUCGGACGUUAGCGGCAGGCGGGUGAGUAACGCGUGUAUAACCUACCUAUAAUACUGGUAUAACUUCGGGAAACCGGAGCUAAUCCCGUAUAAUCUAUUGAUCCGCAUGGUUCAAUAGUGAAAUACGGUGGUGCUGUCACUUAUAGAUGGAUCCGCGCCGCAUGAGCUAGUUGGUAAGUUAACGGCUUACCAAGGCAACGAUGCGUAGCCGAAGUGAGAGGCGGAUAGCCGACAUUGGAACUGAGCCAGGCACAAGACGACUAAGAGAGGCAGCAGUAGGCAACCGUACGCAAUGGGGGAAAGCAUGACGGAGCAACGCCGCGCCAGUGAUGAAGGUCUUCGGAUCGUAAAACUCUGUUACUGGGGAAGAACCAAUGUGUAAGUAAAUAUGCACGUAUUGACGGUAACUAAUAAGAAAGCAACGGCUAACUACGUG
Molecule: ribosomal RNA, 497 nt
Filed under: uncultured bacterium
Lineage: Bacteria
Description: partial 16S ribosomal RNA
Rfam family: Bacterial small subunit ribosomal RNA
Source: RNAcentral